This 492-nucleotide ribosomal RNA is filed under the name uncultured bacterium. RNAcentral's name for it is "partial 16S ribosomal RNA". It matches the Rfam family "Bacterial small subunit ribosomal RNA", at positions 29 to 507 of the family's 1533-position model. The record is from RNAcentral.
AGUGAACGCUGGCGGUAGGCCUAACACAUGCAAGUCGAACGGCAGCACAGUAAGAGCUUGCUCUUACGGGUGGCGAGUGGCGGACGGGUGAGGAAUACAUCGGAAUCUACUUUUUCGUGGGGGAUAACGUAGGGAAACUUACGCUAAUACCGCAUACGACCUACGGGUGAAAGCAGGGGAUCUUCGGACCUUGCGCAAUUGAAUGAGCCGAUGUCGGAUUAGCUAGUUGGCGGGGUAAAGGCCCACCAAGGCGACGAUCCGUAGCUGGUCUGAGAGGAUGAUCAGCCACACUGGAACUGAGACACGGUCCAGACUCCUACGGGAGGCAGCAGUGGGGAAUAUUGGACAAUGGGCGCAAGCCUGAUCCAGCCAUACCGCGUGGGUGAAGAAGGCCUUCGGGUUGUAAAGCCCUUUUGUUGGGAAAGAAAAGCAGCAGGUUAAUACCCCGCCGUUCUGACGGUACCCAAAGAAUAAGCACCGGCUAACUUCGUG